AUUGACUAAGGUUUCCAGAGGAAGGCUCGUCCGCUCUGGGUUAGUCGGGUCCUAAGCUGAGGCCGACAGGCGUAGGCGAUGGAUAACAGGUUGAUAUUCCUGUACCACCUAUAAUCGUUUUAAUCGAUGGGGGGACGCAGUAGGAUAGGCGAAGCGUGCGAUUGGAUUGCACGUCUAAGCAGUAAGGCUGAGUAUUAGGCAAAUCCGGUACUCGUUAAGGCUGAGCUGUGAUGGGGAGAAGACAUUGUGUCUUCGAGUCGUUGAUUUCACACUGCCGAGAAAAGCCUCUAGAUAGAAAAUAGGUGCCCGUACCGCAAACCGACACAGGUAGUCAAGAUGAGAAUUCUAAGGUGAGCGAGCGAACUCUCGUUAAGGAACUCGGCAAAAUGACCCCGUAACUUCGGGAGAAGGGGUGCUCUUUAGGGUUAACGCCCAGAAGAGCCGCAGUGAAUAGGCCCAAGCGACUGUUUAUCAAAAACACAGGUCUCUGCUAAACCGUAAGGUGAUGUAUAGGGGCUGACGCCUGCCCGGUGCUGGAAGGUUAAGAGGAGUGGUUAGCUUCUGCGAAGCUACGAAUCGAAGCCCCAGUAAACGGCGGCCGUAACUAUAACGGUCCUAAGGUAGCGAAAUUCCUUGUCGGGUAAGUUCCGACCCGCACGAAAGGCGUAACGAUUUGGGCACUGUCUCAACGAGAGACUCGGUGAAAUCAUAGUACCUGUGAAGAUGCAGGUUACCCGCGACAGGACGGAAAGACCCCGUGGAGCUUUACUGUAGCCUGAUAUUGAAAUUCGGCACA
Molecule: ribosomal RNA, 796 nt
Filed under: Staphylococcus aureus
Lineage: Bacteria; Bacillati; Bacillota; Bacilli; Caryophanales; Staphylococcaceae
Description: partial 23S ribosomal RNA
Rfam family: Bacterial large subunit ribosomal RNA
Source: RNAcentral